Molecule: signal recognition particle RNA, 301 nt
Filed under: Prolemur simus (greater bamboo lemur)
Lineage: Eukaryota; Metazoa; Chordata; Mammalia; Primates; Lemuridae
Description: Metazoan signal recognition particle RNA (ENSPSMG00000010985.1)
Rfam family: Metazoan signal recognition particle RNA
About the family: The signal recognition particle (SRP) is a universally conserved ribonucleoprotein. It is involved in the co-translational targeting of proteins to membranes. The eukaryotic SRP consists of a 300-nucleotide 7S RNA and six proteins: SRPs 72, 68, 54, 19, 14, and 9.
Source: RNAcentral
GCUGGGUGAGGUGAUGCAUGCCUGUAAUCCCAGCUACUGGGAGACUGAGGUGGAAGGAUCACUUGAGCCCAGGAGUUCUGGGCUCUUGUGUACUCUGCCCAUCCAGUGUCCACAUCCAAAGUGGGCAUUAAUAUGGUGACUUCUUGGGAGUGGGGGACCACCAGGUUGCCUAAGGAGGGGGAUAAACCAGCUUCGGCUGGAAACAGAACAGGUCAAAACUCCCAUGCAGAUCAGUGGUGGGAUUGUACCUGUGAAUAGCCACUGCACUCCAGCCUGGGCAACACAGCGAGAUCCCAUCUCU